CAGUUUAUAUUUUAAAAAUUUGAACUCGUUAUAAACGAAAGCGUAAUAAUCAAUUUAAAUGUAAAUCGUGUUCGCGCAUAUAUAACUUUCUCGACCUAUUUUCGAUCAUUUUCGACUAUUUCCGAUUAAUACUAUCUUAUUAUAUUGCACGUGUGUAUUAAUGGAUACGUAUAAUUUAUUGCAUUCUUUUAUAUAUUAAUCAGAUAUUACAUGUAUAAGUUUGGAUUAACAAAAUUAUCGUUUCGAUGGUUUACACGUUUACACAUAUAUUUAUAAAGUUAUCAUAUCUUUGAAUAAUAGAUCAUGUCAAAUGACGUGUAAUUACAGGUAACGGCAACCAACGUUCGGCAGGUAUCGCUAACCUUCGUCAAUCUUCGUCAUCCAUUUGACCGGUGACAGCUUUGUUCGUUGGACGCUACCAAGUUGCGACGGAAUUUAUUUUCUCUACGUUGUAAUUACAGUUCCAGGAAAUUCUUCGCGAUGAAUACAUGUAAACAAAAACAGUCAAGCGUCGGGAUCGUCCAAGGUCAAGAGCAGGCAGUAUCCUCAUUACCACACGACAUACCAACAAGCAAACGUUUGGCUGUUUUGAAGAGCAGUUAAAUAAAAUUAGAAUCAAUGGAAAUUUGCAAAGUAGAAUCAUUUUUGUAUUAGUUCAUCAUUGGGAUAAGAGACUCAUCGUUCAAAGAUCAAUAAACACUUAAAGUAAGUAAAUUUUUGUAUUGAACAUUUUCACAAUAAUAUGAUGCUAAUAAUUUUGUUCUUGUUUUUUUUUUAAAGGUCGUUCUUACAAUCGUAAGUAAAGCAAUAAAUAAAUCAAAUGUUGUAUCGCUAAAAAAAAAAAUCGCGAAAUAGAAGCCGUGUUUGUUAAUGUAAAUUUGUUCGCAUUUCUUAAUAACUUUAAAAAAUUAAUCUUUAAUAACUAUACUUAAUAAGUAUACUCUUAAAUCAAUUGCGUAUAAAGUUGUCAAUUGUAGAGUCAGUGUUUGUUCGCAUAAAGUAUUAUUUUUCUUUUUUUUUUUUUUAACAGUAAAAAUCCGUGGAUUAAAUUUAAGUGACCAUCUCGUAAUUAAUAAAUAAUUAUCGUGCAUUAGAGUUAGUGCAUCGCCGAAAAUAAUAAUAUACUUUUCUGUAGGAGAUUAUUGAUAAAUAAAUGUUUAUAUUUUACAGUAUAUAAUUAAACAAUAAUUAUUUUAUUACAAUAAUAGUAAUAAAAUUUUUAUUUUUCAU
This is a long non-coding RNA of Vespa crabro (European hornet), 1230 nucleotides long. RefSeq lists it as uncharacterized. The record is from RefSeq and is a predicted model, not a curated record. NCBI's taxonomy places the organism in Eukaryota, Metazoa, Arthropoda, Insecta, Hymenoptera, Vespidae. The transcript is spliced from 3 exons.